RNAcentral lists this transfer RNA (76 nucleotides) under Firmicutes bacterium CAG:103. RNAcentral's name for it is "transfer RNA-Ala(CGC)". It matches the Rfam family "tRNA". Rfam says of the family: Transfer RNA (tRNA) molecules are approximately 80 nucleotides in length. Their secondary structure includes four short double-helical elements and three loops (D, anti-codon, and T loops). RNAcentral also lists the same sequence under 9 other names. Lineage: Bacteria; Bacillati; Bacillota. The record is from RNAcentral.
GGGGGCGUAGCUCAGCUGGGAGAGCGUUCGGUUCGCAUCCGAGAGGUCAAGGGUUCGAAUCCCUCCGUCUCCACCA